This 6347-nucleotide unclassified non-coding RNA is filed under the name Leishmania donovani. Its description in RNAcentral is "gene:LdHU3.35.4880(CDS-product:ribulose-phosphate _3-epimerase_putative)". Lineage: Eukaryota; Euglenozoa; Kinetoplastea; Trypanosomatida; Trypanosomatidae. The record is from RNAcentral.
AAAAGCACAUCCUGCCUGCCCCCUUCUAAACAAAAAGAAAAACAACUCCUUCACUUGUGCAUCUUAGUUGGUUUUGCUUUCUCUUUGCACGCUGUAAAACUGCCGAUUGAGAUUCCUUACUGAUUCAUGUAAAUGUUUUUUUCGGGCCUCCGCCAAAUCCCCAUUUCCACUUUUCACCCGAAGACACGGGCCUCCUGUCUCACCAGCCCAUCACAGCAACUUCCAUCUCCCUCCAGCACUCACGCUCCUGCACGCAGUGUCGAACACGAGCGAAAAGCAACAACCAACACCUAGCAGGGCAAAAGCAUAAAGCGAGAUUCGGCCAGCCGAAAAAAAAAACAAAAAGAGAAAUCUGGUCCUCUCCGCUUCACGAAAACUCAAAAGAAUAAAGCAGAAUCUGCAUCGUCUCUCUCACGGCCCCCUCCCCCUUUCCCUGAGACUGCCGUUUAGCCCCCUCUGCAACUCCAGCCUCGCGGUGUUUCACUUCCAGUAAGGAAAGAAACAGAGAGCUCAAAGUGGUGAGACCUAUUUGUGGUACACCGACACACACACAAAAGAAAACAGAUUGUUUGGCUUGCCGAACAGUUCUUCGUUUGCCCCCCUUUUUUCACCAAGGAGGGUUGGUGAAGAACCACAACAAAAAGACGCAACUGCCGUAUUCUGUUGCUUCUGAUCCUUUCCCUCUUUCGCGCUUCCUUCUUGCACGAACAAAAAGUUUCCUUCACCUCUUUCUAGGUGCUUAUCAUUUGUUUUCGUUUUUUUUUUGUUUUGCUGUUCUUGUUUCAUUUCUGUAUUUCACUCUCACUGAGGGGGUCCAACAACAACAGCCAAAAGUAGGAAAAAAAGAACGUUGGUGCUCCUCUGGUGAAAGUGCUUCCAGUGCAAUCCGUGCUCUUUCCUUUUUUUUUUUGCAUCCCUCCUCGACUCAUUGUGUGCAUUUGUGGGUUUAUAUCUCUCUUUCUCCUCGUACUUUUUUUCUUUAAUCAUUCUCGGUUUCUCUUUGCCGCCCCCGCACCCCCCCCUCCUCUAAACCCGAAAAGCAGUAAAGAGGAGAUAAGUUGUCCAGACCGGGGUGUGGCGUAAAUAGACUAACGACAUCAAACUGCUUUGUGCCGGUCUCGUAUGCAUUUUUCGUAGGGUUUUCUUCCUCAGUAGUUGCUUUUUUUUGUGGCUUCCCACACUCCCCCUCCCACACACUUUUUUGUUGCAGGCGCUUCGCCACCUCCUUUCAUUCGGUGUCAGCCCGCGCUUUAUCAGCCUCCCUCCCCCUAAAGCCACCAACGGCCCGCGUCUCGUUCCUGUGUCCAUUUUCUCUUCACAAAUUUUUCUUGCUCGCACCCCGCAGCCCAGUACUUGGAGGCUUCCGCCAUGACCGCCAAGUUCGACCACCUGGACAAGUCCACCUACCCAAAUGGCCGCAAUAAGAAGCAGCCCAUUGUCUCCAUCAUUUCGCCAUCGCUGAUGGUGGCGGACCAGACAAAGCUGCUGCAGGAGUCGCUGGACGUGCUGUCUGAUAAGGGUGGCAGCGCUGAUUGGCUUCACGUGGACAUUGUGGACGGCCACUUGGCGCCGAACUUCAGCUUCUCCCCCGCUACAGUUUCGGACCUGCGCAAGCAUCUGCCGAACACGUUCCUGGACUGCCAUCUGAUUGUUCGCGACCCCAUCCGCUGGGUCGACUCCUUUGCGAAGGCUGGCGCGUCGACGUUCGUGUUCCAUUACGAGGCCACCGAGAACCCUGUCGCCGUCUGCCGCAAGGUACGCGAGGCCGGCAUGGUCGCUGGAAUCGCUCUUGCCCCCAACACGCCGGCGGAAGUGCUGUUCCCCAUCAUCGAUGCUGGCGAGGUCGACAUGGCCCUUGUCAUGUGUGUGCAGAUCGGGCUUGCCGGGCAGCGGUUCCAGAUCGAGACGGUGGAUAAGGUGCGCCAGCUGCGCCAGCGCUAUCCUCACCUCCUGAUCCAGGUGGACGGCUCCAUCACAUUGGACACGAUUGACCUCGUCGCUGCUGCCGGCGCGAACGCCAUUGUGCCUGGCCGCGCUGCCUUCAAGUCGAAUGACCGCAAGGGCAGCAUGGAGAGGCUCCGCGGCAGCAUCCAGAAGCACAUCGCACAGCGUGCUGCGAGCCGUCUGUAGCGACGCUUUGCGCAGCACCAUUGCCCCAACGCUUCGGUGGGAGCGUGGAGGUGUGCGCCCGCCAGCUGCCCCGCUACUUGCUGACUCUGCAAAAAUCUCUUGACUCUACGUGGCUUCAUUCUCUCUCGUCCCCCCUGCUCUCCAGGACGAGGUUGCAGCGGCUACGGCCUGGCUUUGCUGCGACGACCCUACCCGGCGGAUGCACUUCACGCCGGGCUACACACCUGAGAGUGACGCUGGUGGCACGGGAAGCUCUCGAUCAGACAUCAAGCGGCGUUGCACCCACUCCUCAGGCUAUGGGAACAGACACCAACUCGCGCCGCCGGGGUGUGCGGCGGGAAACGGCGGCUCAACCGGGCUGGAACCCUCCGUCCUCGCCCCCGCGCGAUGGGCCCGAGGGCAAACACCUGGCGCCCGCGAGCGGUGGGGGAGGGCAUGCGGCGGACGUAUCUGGGCACAAGUGCUGGCGCUGCCGGCCCGUCGCGUGCGCCUCUCAUUUCAGUCUGCCUGUGGCCAUUGCGGAUGGGCGCACCACGGCGAGGUUGGCAGGCUUGCCGGAUCGGCAGUGGCAGAGGAGCCGGCGCCGACUGCGUGGAUCACGCGCCUGGUCGCCGGCCUCAGACGCCAGGCCGACAUCGCCCGAAACCGCGAUACACGAUGCGGCACGCUGAGACAAGAGGUGCUUGGCGGCAGCCGUCCCACACCAGAGGAGCAGGGAUGCUGAGCUCACGGUACGACGGGCGGCCAUCCUCGCACAGGUCCGCGCGGGCACCCCGUCCAUGCACUGGGGAUCGCUGCAGCGGCGGGCGCCUGGCAGCGACGAGGCGGAGCGCGGAUGGCGUGCUGCCCGCUGCUCCGCUGGUGUUGCGGCGCCCCCCGCCCCCGCCAGAGCCUCCACCCCCGCCGGUGCUGGCCAUGAGGGCGUCCGGCCCGGCGUGGUGCCCGGUAUGCUGCGCGAGAUUCGCGGAUCGCCCGACGCUCGAAGCACACCUCGCCUCACGCGGUGAGCGUGCACGUCACCCCGGCACGUCCCCGUGGCAGCGACGGGGACGGAGAAGACGAAGAGAGCGAGUCCGUUCCCCUCCCCAGGCAACAGCGCCGUCCUGAAGCAGGCCCCGUGGCCCGAAUAUGCGAGCGCUGUGCGCACGCGCUGCCCACCGUUGCUGGCUUGGUGCGCCACAUCGAAAGAAAGAGUGCAGAGGUGAGAGAGCAAGAGUGAUGGACGGAAGGGGCGCGAAGAAGUCCCAUAGCAGUGAGCCCCACAGCGCAUGUGUGCAUAGCAUGCGGCAUCUUCGGCAUCUGUCCAGGGCUGCACUGAUGAGGCACAGAUGCCGGAAGCAUCACGAGAGCAGCCCGAGCUGCACCAUCCGGGCCCUCCCGACUCCCCAUGCGGAGGGUCUCCAUAUUAUGGGAUGCCGCGGCGUGAAGCGACCGAGGGCGAAGCAUGGCACGCAGGCAGGGGGUGCGCAGGGCCACCGAGGGCCCUGACCUGAGGCUGGCCAACGUCCUCCUCGAGCUCAUCCGGCAUGUCACCUUGACCACUCCCCUAUUACCCGCACGACAGACGCCACCGCCUCCGCCCUCGAGCAGGAGCAUGGGCGCGGCCCGCGUUGGAUCAGGCCAUGCAGCUCACCCAUGUCCGUGGGACGCCCGAUGCGAAGGCAGGCGGCUCGUCCUAGACGCCCAGGAUGCAGCUGUAACCCCCCCCCUACAGAGACGGGUGAGCUGUGGUUGUAUGCGUCUAUUUUUGUCACUUGCUCGCGGCAGAAUGGCACUGUGAAAUCGAAACCAAUGUGCUACAUUCAAUGUUUUGUGUUUUCAGUGACGGGCUGUACCUCCCCGUGUGUGAUCUGGGUCCGAGCGCCCCCACUCUGCAUGGAUGCCGAACCACCCCCACUGCCCUAUCCCUGCCAACGCGGCGCCACUGAUGGUGGCGACAGGGUCCAGCGCCCACGACGUGGCGUGGCGUCGGGGCGACCUGCGAGGCGGGUGGUGGGCAGAGUUCGAGGCCGCGGCCGUGCUCAUGUGACUGAGUCGGCGCAUUGCUGUGACGCGCGUGUGUAGCGCUGCUUCGAGCAACGAGGUGUGGGGCCUGCGGCAGCCCGGGGUCGAGUGGAGCUCGACUUGUGUUGUGUGGCAGAAUGGGCGUGUUCUAAGUUCUCUACGUGUUGCUUCAUCAUGUGAGACAGUGGUGCCCGGUCAAUGGGUAAUUUUGGUCGUGUGUCUGUACAGCAUUCGAGAUAGGCAGUCAAGAACAUUUUUUACGGCAUCUCAGCCAGGCUUUCUGGCUGCUUUUGUGCGCGAAAACGCUCGUGCGCGUCACAACGGAUUCGUCUUUACAUUGUGGGCCACCUAUACAAGAGGGCAAAUACUUUAUUCAUCGAUGAUGACGCCUCCUAAGCGAGCAGCCACAUGGAUGCGACGGUGGUGGUGAAGCCAAUGCUCGUAGAGGUGUUGACGGUGGCUCCGAUGAGGUGACGCGGGUUUUGCUCACCGUCGCCACUGAAGGUGUGAACUCCUAGGACGACAACAUCCACUACAGGAGAUGCAAACUAUUCUGUGGUGGCCAGACUGAGGGGCGCGACCCCCUUGCCGGACGUGUCGCUUGAUGAAAAGAUCUGAAGCUACAUUUUUCUACAGCGAAGGGCCAGGGGUACGAGCUGCCGAUCAUCGAGAGAAAGGCGAGGGGGGGGGAACCACCGAAAGGACUGGUCCACCUUCGCUAGAGCCGCUGCUUCCAUCCUGCCAAAGGACUUCGGAAAGAAGCUCAGAGGCCCAGGGCUGCAGGGGAUGUACCUUAUUUCGCAUGACGCUCUGCCAGUGAUCUCCUGCAUGAAUACCCCCGUGUCUCGCGGCGUGGCUUCUGCUCGAUGCCAUCCGCUCCGCCGUGCUCGGUACCCACAAGGCGCGCCCGCAGAAGCCGGCAAGCCACUAUCUGGAGCUAGACCGCGGCAGCGGCAGCGACAAGAUGAGGCUCACGAAGCAGGAGCUGCUCCUCGAGGCCAAGCAAUGCGGAGUGAACCUGGGGAUCUAUUCGUCUCUCAUCUUUCUUUCGGCCCUUGCACAAGGUGCCGGAAAACAGGGGGUGUCACCAUGUGUAGCACUGGCGAAAUAAGCGAUGGAAAGGCAUUAAAGGAAGAUGGAAGAGUCAAAAGGGAUCCAGAGGGACGGUGGCUUGCGCGCACGCAUGUGACCGGUUUUCUUGCGGACACUGUUUCUCCUUUUCCCCCUCUCUCGCCCUUGUUCUCUUUCCCGCUUACUUCGCGGCUUCGAAUCCGCCGCUCUUCUUUAUUCUGCGACUUUCACGUUCGCGGCUGCGCAGAGGGUUCUGGUGAUGGAGGGCUGCCCUGUGCCGAGGCACGCGUGGAGAGGGAGGGAGAGUGGAGGGGGUGGGGUGGUGGUGAUGGGGAGGGACGCACUCGAAAGAAACGAACAAAAGGAUUCAUCGGAACGAUUUCACCUUUUUUAUUUUUAUUUUGUUUCGCGUAUUCGAAACGUUUUAUAUGUCGGGAAAAGGCAACGUCGCACGCGCGCAUGAGCGACUAAUAAUAAUAGUUCCUCUUCUGCUCCUCGGUGGGGGCAGAUUCUGCGGCUUCUCUCCACUCCCUCCUGUCUUCCCCGCUGUCCGGCCUUUCACCCCUUUUUGCGGAUGUGUGUGUGUGUGUGCAUGUAUAUGUGCUUUGUUUUGUUUUGGCGUUCUGCUACACCUCCUCUUAUUGAUUUUUUUUUUCUUGAUUGGCCAUCUCAAACAUUGGACAGCAGGUGGUUGCUGAUUGCGGAUGGAUGCUUGUGCGUGCGUCUGUUGGCGUUUCGUACGCGAGUCCUCUCGCUCUUAAAAGAAAAGAACGCCACUUGGUCUCGCACGCAACACGCAACCGAAAACAGGCAAACACACACACACACGCACGAGCCCAGGGACGAGAUCACCAGCGUCAUGUGGUCUCUACAUGCUGUUGAGUGUUGUUCUUGGACACUUUGUCUUCCUUCAUCGACGAUUUCGCGAUCGGUUUGCAGCUCGCUGAGUUGAAGGGGAAGGCCAACGCAAAUUCGACGAAACAAACUUCGAACGCCUGUGACGGCGUUGGUGGUGGAAGUUACUUGAUGUGUCUGCUGAGGAACUGGUGAGGGACGCGCGAUACACGGCGCAUGAAGUAGUUGACGAGUUUGCCGGAAACGGUGUGGAAGUUCAAAAGGCUUUUGAAAGAAGCGAUACAGCG